Molecule: ribosomal RNA, 367 nt
Filed under: uncultured bacterium
Lineage: Bacteria
Description: partial 16S ribosomal RNA
Rfam family: Bacterial small subunit ribosomal RNA
Source: RNAcentral
UGGGGAAUAUUGGACAAUGGGGGCAACCCUGAUCCAGCAAUGCCGCGUGUGUGAAGAAGGUUUUCGGAUUGUAAAGCACUUUCGACGGGGACGAUGAUGACGGUACCCGUAGAAGAAGCCCCGGCUAACUUCGUGCCAGCAGCCGCGGUAAUACGAAGGGGGCUAGCGUUGCUCGGAAUGACUGGGCGUAAAGGGCGUGUAGGCGGUUUGUACAGUCAGAUGUGAAAUCCCCGGGCUUAACCUGGGAGCUGCAUUUGAUACGUGCAGACUAGAGUGUGAGAGAGGGUUGUGGAAUUCCCAAUGUAGAGGUGAAAUUCGUAGAUAUUGGGAAGAACACCGGUGGCGAAGGCGGCAACCUGGCUCAUAA